RNAcentral lists this ribosomal RNA (509 nucleotides) under uncultured bacterium. RNAcentral's name for it is "bacterial SSU rRNA". It matches the Rfam family "Bacterial small subunit ribosomal RNA", at positions 32 to 523 of the family's 1533-position model. The record is from RNAcentral.
AACGCUGGCGGCGUGCCUAAUACAUGCAAGUCGAGCGAGCUUGCCUAGAUGAUUUUAGUGCUUGCACUAAAUGAAACUAGAUACAAGCGAGCGGCGGACGGGUGAGUAACACGUGGGUAACCUGCCCAAGAGACUGGGAUAACACCUGGAAACAGAUGCUAAUACCGGAUAACAACACUAGACGCAUGUCUAGAGUUUGAAAGAUGGUUCUGCUAUCACUCUUGGAUGGACCUGCGGUGCAUUAGCUAGUUGGUAAGGUAACGGCUUACCAAGGCAAUGAUGCAUAGCCGAGUUGAGAGACUGAUCGGCCACAUUGGGACUGAGACACGGCCCAGACUCCUACGGGAGGCAGCAGUUAGGAAUAUUGGGCAAUGGAGGAAACUCUGACCCAGCAACGCCGCGUGAAGGAAGAAGGUUUUCGGACUGUAAACUUCUGAUCUAAGGGAAAAAGAAAGUGAUGGUACCUUAGGAGAAAGCCACGGCUAACUACGUGCCAGCAGCCGCGGUAA